GAUGCGCAGCUACCUUACAAGUGUGUAUGAGGAAGGAGAUGCGUGGUCAGCUCUGAUUGCCAUGGUUCAGUCUCCCCAACAUGGUAGCAAGGUUUCUUCUUCUUCUCCCUUCUCACUCCCACUGUUACCUGCAAAAAGUUUCAGAUACACCAUGGUUGCUUCCUCUCCUGACUGCUACAUCACAGAUCCGCACACUUUGCAAGGCCAAACUGGAGAAAGGCGCGCUCUGAUUUGGCCAGUACCCACGAGAACCCACGUAUAGGCCAGUCACAUUUGAUUAAAUUUUGCUUGGCUGUGCGCCUGAUCAAAAUUUAAGUGACGAAUCCUACUUUACAUUACACAAAGACACUUAAAUUUUCUCCCUGUUUACAAUAUGAAUAGAUGGACACCCAAUAUGAAUCAAACAGUGACGAAUCAUAUUGUAAACUCCGCAUAAGUCUGCAGGUUUUUUCUACUGUGGAUCUCCCACGCUUACAGAAGUAGUCACGGAUGUUGCAGUAGAAUUCACCUUCUGCUUCCUCCUCUUACCGGCUCUCGUCAGCGGCAGCAGGGGAGAGGCGGCUGUAGCGACGUAUCCCGGUCGGACCCGUGCGUGGAGGAGACUUGCUCGGAUACACGGCCUUGCCUGACACAGACUCCCCAUGAAUCGCCCUCCUUUUGCCACAUAAAUAGGCCUCGAGCCCUCUACGGAAGCAUCCAAUCUCGCGGUCUGCAAUCUCGCCGUUCUAUCAACUCCGCCGGACGCCGUGCUCCAUAUGCGGACAUGAUGCCGUCGUAAAAUCUCGCGGUUCUACCAACAUCGCCGGACCGCCCGUGCUCCAUCUGAGAAAAUGAAUGACAGCGCUGACUUGACCAUUGUUGUGGAUUUUGAUAACCGACCUUAAAAAAGCCAAAUUUUCUGAGUCGGAUGUUUUGGAGCCAUCACCUACGCCACCAACCAUCUCAACAUUAUCUUUUGGUUUUUGAAUGUUUUGAAUCGAUUACUCUGGUAUUAAAUAGAUGUUGAUCCAUUGCGAUGACCUCCGUUACCAACCAGAUCGACAUCACCUCCGGUUUCUGAAUGUAUGCAUGAAAGACAAGUUUAUUCGAUGAUGAUAAAGCAACCAGAGGAAUAUGAAGAAAUAAAAGUUGAUGAAACAUACAACUACUUCCCAAUAGAUUAUGCACUGACCAACCAUGAUGUAUGUGCUCAUAUAGCAAUGGAAACAUUUUUUGAAAAAACAAUUACUGGUGAAGAUAGAUGAAAUAUCUGUCAAAAAGCAUCGCUAGAUGAAAAAGGGGUGGCUAAACGAUGAUGAGGCUUUCACUUGAUGAGUUGCCUAAAAGAAGUUCCGACACUCAGAGGUGACAACCACACUGAGUGGAGGAAGAAAGUUGAACUGGCGUUUGUUUGUGCUGAUCUUGACUGGGUUGUGGAGAAACCACAGCCGGUCAGACCCACAGAGCCAGUAAGAGAGGCCACUGAUGAUGAUGCUGCAUGGGCUAAAAAGAAAGGGGACUAUGCUCCUUUGGAGCAGUCCUACCUCAUAGAUAAUCAAAAGUGGGUCAAUGCAAAUAAAAAAUGCAUGGCCUUUAUAAAGAACACCAUUGAGAGCGCCAUUGUGGGCUCCAUUGCAGAGUGCACUUCCGCAGGGGAGUUGCUCUCAAAGAUAAAGAACCAGUUCACUGGCUCUUCAAAGAUAUAUGCCACCCAGGUGUUAGAGCAACUGGUGACAGAAAAAUACACAGGUGGUAGUCAUGGCAUAAGAGAGCACAUCCUCAGGAUGAGCAAUAUGGCAGCAAAGCUUAAGCCCAUGGAUGCGGAUCUGGAGAUCAAACCAGCGCUCCUGGUCCACCUUGUCAUGGCUUCACUACCCAAGGAGUUUGAAGCUUUUGUUGUGAACUAUAAUAUGUCACCUGGAACAUGGGACGUUGAAAAGACAAUAGCAAUGUGUGUUCAAGAAGAGGAGAGACUCAAAGCCUCACAUGGUGGUACACUCAACUAUGUGCAGGGUCACAAAAGAAAGAAUUACAAUCAAAACAACAAAAGUUCUCCUUCAAAGCCACAAGGAAAAGUUACCUAUCAGCAUCAGCGUCAGCAACAGCCUUUCUCAGUGGACAAAGACACUUGUCUCCACUGUAAGAAGACCGGGCAUUACAAGAAAGACUGUCCUGUUUGGCUAAAGUCGAUCAUGGCAA
Molecule: long non-coding RNA, 2178 nt
Organism: Triticum aestivum (bread wheat)
Lineage: Eukaryota; Viridiplantae; Streptophyta; Magnoliopsida; Poales; Poaceae
Exons: 4
Source: RefSeq, a predicted model, not a curated record